GUCCACGCCGUAAACGAUGAGUGCUAGCUAUCGGGGCCUUGAGCUUCGGUGGCGUAGUUAACGCGUUAAGCACUCCGCCUGGGGAGUACGGUCGCAAGAUUAAAACUCAAAGGAAUUGACGGGGACCCGCACAAGCGGUGGAGCAUGUGGUUUAAUUCGAUGCUACGCGAAGAACCUUACCACCAUUUGACAUCCUGAUCGCGAGAUAUGUAAUGUAUCUCUUCAGCUCGGCUGGAUCAGUGA
RNAcentral lists this ribosomal RNA (243 nucleotides) under uncultured bacterium. RNAcentral describes it as "partial 16S ribosomal RNA". It matches the Rfam family "Bacterial small subunit ribosomal RNA", at positions 793 to 1034 of the family's 1533-position model. The record is from RNAcentral.